RNAcentral lists this ribosomal RNA (253 nucleotides) under uncultured bacterium. RNAcentral describes it as "partial 16S ribosomal RNA". It matches the Rfam family "Bacterial small subunit ribosomal RNA", at positions 524 to 776 of the family's 1533-position model. The record is from RNAcentral.
UACGGAGGGUGCAAGCGUUAAUCGGAAUUACUGGGCGUAAAGCGCACGCAGGUGGCUGAGAAAGUCGAUUGUGAAAGCCCUGGGCUUAACCUGGGAAUUGCAGUCGAAACUACUCAGCUAGAGUAUGGGAGAGGGCAGUGGAAUUCCCGGUGUAGCGGUGAAAUGCGUAGAUAUCGGGAGGAACAUCAGUGGCGAAGGCGGCUGCCUGGCCCAAUACUGACAAUCAGGUGCGACAGCGUGGGGAGCAAACAGG